This 130-nucleotide small RNA is filed under the name uncultured Acetatifactor sp. RNAcentral's name for it is "Clostridiales-1 RNA". It matches the Rfam family "Clostridiales-1 RNA", at positions 24 to 157 of the family's 166-position model. The record is from RNAcentral. Lineage: Bacteria; Bacillati; Bacillota; Clostridia; Lachnospirales; Lachnospiraceae.
GAUUACGAGACUGCUUGCAGGCGGAGCAAUCUAUCUAUUAGAGGAUCCAACAUACAUGAGCAAAUAGGACGUUAGUCCGGAAUGUGAAUGUAUGUUGCGGAUUCGGGAGCGCGAAGCGCGGAGAAUCCGU